This 394-nucleotide ribosomal RNA is filed under the name uncultured bacterium. RNAcentral's name for it is "partial 16S ribosomal RNA". It matches the Rfam family "Bacterial small subunit ribosomal RNA", at positions 523 to 918 of the family's 1533-position model. The record is from RNAcentral.
AUACGUAGGGAGCGAGCGUUGUCCGGAAUUACUGGGCGUAAAGCGGGCGCAGGCGGCGCUUCAAGUCCUCUGUCAAAUGGCAGGGCUUAACCCUUUUUCGCCGACGAUGAUCGAGAGCUUGAGAAGCAGAGAGGCAAACAGCAUCUCUGCGGUAGCGGUGGACUGCGUAGAUAUCAGGAAGAAUACCAGUGGCGAAGGCGGUUUGCGGGAUGCAUACUGUCGCUAAAGCGCGAAAGCGAGGGGAGCAAACGGGAUUAGAUACCCCGGUAGUCCUGGAAGUAAACGAUGUAUGCAGGGUGUGAGACUAGCGAUAGUUUCGUGCCGAAGUUAACGCGAUAAGCAUACCGCCUGGGGAGUACGGUCGCAAGAUUGAAACUCAAAGGAAUUGACGGGG